RNAcentral lists this ribosomal RNA (253 nucleotides) under uncultured bacterium. Its description in RNAcentral is "partial 16S ribosomal RNA". It matches the Rfam family "Bacterial small subunit ribosomal RNA", at positions 524 to 776 of the family's 1533-position model. The record is from RNAcentral.
AACGUAGGAGACAAACGUUAUCCGGAGUUACUGGGCGUAAAGGGCGUGCAGGUGGCUUGAUAAGUUCGGCGUGAAAUUUCCCGGCUUAACCGGGGGAUGUCGUCGGAGACUGUCGAGUUAGAGGGUGAUAGAGGCGUGUGGAAUUCCGGGUGUAGUGGUGAAAUGCGUAGAGAUCCGGAGGAACACCAGUGGCGAAGGCGACACGCUGGGUCAUACCUGACACUAAAACGCGACAGCAUGGGGAGCGAACGGG